Molecule: ribosomal RNA, 63 nt
Filed under: Phomopsis velata
Lineage: Eukaryota; Fungi; Ascomycota; Sordariomycetes; Diaporthales; Diaporthaceae
Also listed under: 1 other name
Description: partial 18S ribosomal RNA
Rfam family: Eukaryotic small subunit ribosomal RNA
Source: RNAcentral
UCAUUUAGAGGAAGUAAAAGUCGUAACAAGGUCUCCGUUGGUGAACCAGCGGAGGGAUCAUUG